RNAcentral lists this ribosomal RNA (164 nucleotides) under uncultured bacterium. Its description in RNAcentral is "partial 16S rRNA". It matches the Rfam family "Bacterial small subunit ribosomal RNA", at positions 355 to 511 of the family's 1533-position model. The record is from RNAcentral.
UAGGGAAUCUUCCACAAUGGGCGCAAGCCUGAUGGAGCAACGCCGCGUGAGUGAAGAAGGUCUUCGGAUCGUAAAACUCUGUUGUUAGAGAAGAACAUGCAGGAGAGUAACUGUUCUUGUAUUGACGGUGUCUAACCAGAAAGCCACGGCUAACUACGUGCCAG